UACGAAGGGGGCUAGCGUUGUUCGGAAUUACUGGGCGUAAAGCGCACGUAGGCGGGUCGUUAAGUCAGGGGUGAAAUCCUGGAGCUCAACUCCAGAACUGCCUUUGAUACUGGGAAUCUCGAGUCCGGGAGAGGUGAGUGGAACUGCGAGUGUAGAGGUGAAAUUCGUAGAUAUUCGCAAGAACACCAGUGGCGAAGGCGGCUCACUGGCCCGGUACUGACGCUGAGGUGCGAAAGCGUGGGGAGCAAACAGG
RNAcentral lists this ribosomal RNA (253 nucleotides) under uncultured bacterium. Its description in RNAcentral is "partial 16S ribosomal RNA". It matches the Rfam family "Bacterial small subunit ribosomal RNA", at positions 524 to 776 of the family's 1533-position model. The record is from RNAcentral.